GACGAACGCUGGCGGCGUGCUUAACACAUGCAAGUCGAACGGAAAGGCCUGCUUUCCCUUGUGGAUUGCGGGUACUCGAGUGGCGAACGGGUGAGUAACACGUGAGUGAUCUGCCCCCAACUUGGGUAUAAGCCUGGGAAACUGGGUCUAAUUCCCGAUAGGACUGCAGGGUGGUGCCUGUGGUGGAAAACGAUUUUCUAGUGGUUGGGGAUGAGCUCGCGGCCUAUCAGCUUGUUGGUGGGGUAAUGGCCUACCAAGGCGGCGACGGGUAGCCGGCCUGAGGGGGUGGACGGCCACAUUGGGACUGGGAUCCGGCCCAGACUCCUACGGGAGGCAGCAGUGGGGAAUAUUGCACAAUGGGCGGAAGCCUGAUGCAGCGACGCCGCGUGGGGGAUGACGGCCUUCGGGUUGUAAACUCCUUUCGACCGCGAGGAAGCCACCUGGUUGGAAGGGUGGUGACGGUAGUGGUAGAAGAAGCACCGGCUAACUACGUG
This 494-nucleotide ribosomal RNA is filed under the name uncultured bacterium. RNAcentral's name for it is "partial 16S ribosomal RNA". It matches the Rfam family "Bacterial small subunit ribosomal RNA", at positions 28 to 507 of the family's 1533-position model. The record is from RNAcentral.